GUGGGGAAUAUUGGACAAUGGGGGGAACCCUGAUCCAGCCAUGCCGCGUGUGUGAAGAAGGCCUUUUGGUUGUAAAGCACUUUAAGCGAGGAGGAGGCUACCGAGAUUAAUACUCUUGGAUAGUGGACGUUACUCGCAGAAUAAGCACCGGCUAACUCUGUGCCAGCAGCCGCGGUAAUACAGAGGGUGCAAGCGUUAAUCGGAUUUACUGGGCGUAAAGCGCGCGUAGGUGGCCAAUUAAGUCAAAUGGGAAAUCCCCGAGCUUAACUUGGGAAUUGCAUUCGAUACUGGUUGGCUAGAGUAUGGGAGAGGAUGGUAGAAUUCCAGGUGUAGCGGUGAAAUGCGUAGAGAUCUGGAGGAAUACCGAUGGCGAAGGCAGCCAUCUGGCCUAAUACUGACACUGAGGUGCGAAAGCAUGGGGAGCAAACAGGAUUAGAAACCCGGGUAGUCC
Molecule: ribosomal RNA, 451 nt
Filed under: uncultured bacterium
Lineage: Bacteria
Description: partial 16S ribosomal RNA
Rfam family: Bacterial small subunit ribosomal RNA
Source: RNAcentral